Molecule: ribosomal RNA, 772 nt
Filed under: uncultured bacterium
Lineage: Bacteria
Description: bacterial SSU rRNA
Rfam family: Bacterial small subunit ribosomal RNA
Source: RNAcentral
AGAGUUUGAUCAUGGCUCAGGACGAACGCUGGCGGCGCGCCUAAAACAUGCAAGUCGAGCGAGAACCGGGGCUUCGGCUCCGGGGAGAGCGGCGAACGGGUGCGUAACACGUGAGCAACCUGCCCCGAAGACCGGGACAACACCGGGAAACCGGUGCUAAUACCGGAUGUCCUCACCAGAUCGCAUGGUCUAGUGAGGAAAUGGAUUCCGCUUCGGGAUGGGCUCGCGGUCUAUCAGCUUGUUGGUGGGGUAACGGCCUACCAAGGCGACGACGGAUAGCUGGUCUGAGAGGACGAUCAGCCACACUGGGACUGAGACACGGCCCAGACUCCUACGGGAGGCAGCAGUUAGGAAUCUUGCGCAAUGGGGGAAACCCUGACGCAGCGACGCCGCGUGCGGGAUGAAGGCCUUCGGGUUGUAAACCGCUUUCAGGAGGGACGAAAUUGACGGUACCUCCAGAAGAAGGCCCGGCCAACUACGUGCCAGCAGCCGCGGUAAUACGUAGGGGCCUAGCGUUGUCCGGAUUUAUUGGGCGUAAAGAGCUCGUAGGCGGUUCGGCAAGUCGGAUGUGAAAUCUCCACGCUCAACGUGGAGGGGCCAUUCGAAACUGCUGUGACUUGAGUCCGGUAGGGGGGUGUGGAAUUCCCGGUGUAGCGGUGAAAUGCGCAGAUAUCGGGAGGAACACCAGUAGCGAAGGCGGCACCCUGGGCCGGUACUGACGCUGAGGAGCGAAAGCGUGGGGAGCAAACAGGAUUAGAUACCCUAGUAGUCC